AUACCUUUCUCGGCCUUUUGGCUAAGAUCAAGUGUAGUAUCUGUUCUUAUCAGUUUAAUAUCUGAUACGUGGGCCAUUGUCUCACACGAUAUUAAUUAAAUUUUUUUUAGGGAAAGGCCCAUCAAGGUAGCUUGCUACUUUUGGGUCUUUGAGUGUCGCCUUGGUAUUGCACCAUUGCCUUGGCCUGGCAUACCCCAC
RNAcentral lists this small nuclear RNA (198 nucleotides) under Ipomoea nil (Japanese morning glory). Its description in RNAcentral is "U2 spliceosomal RNA". It matches the Rfam family "U2 spliceosomal RNA". From Rfam's summary of the family: U2 is a small nuclear RNA (snRNA) component of the spliceosome (involved in pre-mRNA splicing). Complementary binding between U2 snRNA (in an area lying towards the 5' end but 3' to hairpin I) and the branchpoint sequence (BPS) of the intron results the bulging out of an unpaired adenosine, on the BPS, which initiates a nucleophilic attack at the intronic 5' splice site, thus starting the first of two transesterification reactions that mediate splicing. Lineage: Eukaryota; Viridiplantae; Streptophyta; Magnoliopsida; Solanales; Convolvulaceae. The record is from Rfam by way of RNAcentral.